UCACUGGCAGAAUUCAUCUCCUUGCACCUACAGGGCUGAAGACCCUGGCUUUUUGCUGGCUGUCAGCUGGAGACUGCCCUCUGCUCCUGGAGAGUACCUGGAGUUCACUGUCAGUGGGCUUUCCCAGCAUGGCCACUUGACUUCAACCAGCCAGCAAGGCGAGUCCCCAGAUAAAACCCAGGAGGUUUCAGCCACGUGCAUGCCAGCAGCGUCGCUGAAGCCACAGAAUACUUGCCUGGGUCAGGCCGCUGCUUCUCCUAGGCCCCCAGUCCCUCGCACACUGAUAAGAGCAUUUUUGAAGAAGCAUAUCCCUACUGCUUCUAGCUGCAGGUGCUGGAUAAAUCUGGAAUGUGCCUGAAGCCCAAGCCGAAGCCGACACCCAAGUACAGACAGUUGUGAAUUAAGAAACAAAAUACGCUGGGUUUUCGAGAAGCGAAAAUUAUGAAGAGGUACAAGGCUCUCAAAGUAUUUUGCUGAUGGCUUAUCAGACGUGCACCAGAGCAGCAAACAUAAUGGUAGAAGGGGAUGGUCCCUAGCAGUGAUGAGAAACAAUUCUACUAAAGUCACACCUGGGCAGGAGACCCCAGAGUCCAGCUCUGAGUUCCCCAAGGCUGGUUCCAGAGGCGGGAGCCCAGCCUCUGUUUUCAGAACACCUACAUCUGGACAGUCAACACCCACAUGCUCCUCAAAGGACAUGAGCAAAACAGAAACAUCUCAACCAAAAAUGCUGCUUAGAAAGAAUUCCAAAAAGAGUCCACAGUGGAUUUUGGAAAUUUCUCGUCUCCUCUGUAAAGAAUGGAUUUUAAGAAACGUCUAAUGCUACUUCUGAACUAAAGAUACACAGUGAAACAUUUGACGUCUAUUUAUUCUCUGAAUACCAGGCCCAAGAACAGACUUUUCUUGGCAUCUUUGGCAUUUAUGGGAAAUAAAAUCCUUGUUGAAUGAGUAACUGAAACCCACCUACCUCAAAGGUUGGUUGUGAGAUCAAAAAAUGUGUGGCAGUGCCUUGUAAAUAGUAAAUUCAUAUGCAGGCAUUAAUCGUACUUACUCUCCCUUUUCUCAGCAGUUUCACUGUUCAUAUCAUUUUCUUUCAGAAGAAAAUUGAGACCUUUCUCAGAGUGUCAACUUACCCAUGAGCAAGCAGUUCACUGUUGAAGCUAAGGAGAAGGUGGUAGUUUAAGAAUAAAAUCAGGAGAGGACAAGACAGACUUAUUCAAAUUGAUUCGUUUUCUACCAAACGAAGCUUAAUUACAAUCCCUCUAUGGAUAAGUAAGAGAGGCACAUUUGGUGAGCACUGUUUAAUACAGAAAAUGAAUUUAUAUUUUUCAUUCAAUGCACAUUCAAAUGAAAUUCCUGGUCAAUAUUUUCUAUGUAAACCUAUGACUGAUAUUUGAAUCUUUUCAUACUUCCAUUUAAAGAUAAAAUUUGAGCAGUCUGGAUUUAGAUUAGUGUCCUCAACCCCCUCCCCUUGCCUAGUGCCAAAUUCAGUAGACAGUGUUGAUGAUAAUGAAAAACCAGUUGAAAUAAUAGCAAAUGCUGGUGAGGAGGUGAGAUAGCGGGACUCUGGUCCACUGCAUUCAUCUAGUGCAGUCAGAACAGGCAGGGACAAGCACACCCUCUGAAGCAAUGUGCUUUUUGGUAGUAAAAAGAAUUAAAAUUUGAAAUAACAUGUCUAUUACUUGAAGACUUGAUAAACUAUAGAUUAUUCAUACGAUGAAAUAUUAUACAGAAUGAAAUGGGAAAAUUGGAACUAUAAGAAUAGAGAUGUAAAUUUCAAAAAAAAUGAUAUAAAAUGAAAAAAGAAAUUUGCAGAAGGUUGCAUAUAUAUGUUCUUAUAUGAAUGAUAACGGUCUAUUAUUUGUGGUUAUGUACAUGUAUGCCAAAUUUUUAAAAAAACCCAAAGAAUGCCAGAUGGAAAAUUCAGGCUCUUUGUUCUCUCUGAAAAGGAAGGAGGGAGGGAAGAAGAAAAAGGAGGGCCAGCAUUUAAGCUGUGUGAUCGACACGGAAGAUUAUUAUAUUUUAAUAACUAAACUUUUUUGUAACUCGGCAAUCUUUGUAUUUUUUGAAGCACGGGAUUAUCUUUUCACUUCCAUACCCCAAUGUGUUUAGAAAUGAAUAAAAGCAUUUUCAAAUAAUGUUUGCCCA
Miniopterus natalensis is the source of this 2145-nucleotide non-coding RNA. The record is from RefSeq and is a predicted model, not a curated record. Lineage: Eukaryota; Metazoa; Chordata; Mammalia; Chiroptera; Miniopteridae.